GGUGAUUUGGUGUAGUGGUAGCAUGCGGCCUUGUGGAGCUCAGUCCGAGCAAUCGGAUUCUACAGUGCGGCCUCGACAGCGGUUCGAUUCCGUUAAUCGCCA
Molecule: non-coding RNA, 102 nt
Organism: Delphinella strobiligena
Lineage: Eukaryota; Fungi; Ascomycota; Dothideomycetes; Dothideales; Dothioraceae
Source: the annotation of a GenBank genome assembly